RNAcentral lists this unclassified non-coding RNA (208 nucleotides) under Hevea brasiliensis (rubber tree). Lineage: Eukaryota; Viridiplantae; Streptophyta; Magnoliopsida; Malpighiales; Euphorbiaceae. The record is from RNAcentral.
GAGGACGAAGAUAUCCGGUUGAAUAUGCACUAGUGUUUCGAUUUUUGUUUUCUGCAGAGAGAAGUUGAAGGGGGAGUUGGAAGUAAUUGAAUUUGGUCGGUUCCGAGGAGCUUGAUUGAACUCAUUGAAGGUUUGAAUUUGUUGGGUUUCCUUUCAAAUGAGCAAAUCAUAAUGAACGGAAUCGUGGGCUUGUUGGUCAAUGGAUUCU